UACGAGGGGGGCAAAUGUUGUUCGGAAUCACUGGGCGUAAAGGGAGCGUAGGCGGGUGUUUAAGUUAGGUGUUUAAUCCCGGGGCCCAACCCCGGACAGGCACCUAAAACUGGACAUCUUGAAUAGUGGAGAGGACGACGGAAUUGGGGGUGUAGCGGUGGAAUGCGUAGAGAUCCCCAAGAACACCAGUUGCGAAGGCGGUCGUCUGGACACAUAUUGACGCUGAGGCUCGAAAGCAUGGGGAGCAAACAGGAUUAGAUACCCUGGUAGUCCAUGCUAUAAACGAUGAAUACUAGGUUUUAGGCCCGUCAACGGUCUAGAGCCGCAGCUAACGCGUUAAGUAUUCCGCCUGGGGAGUACGCUCGCAAGAGUGAA
Molecule: ribosomal RNA, 375 nt
Filed under: uncultured bacterium
Lineage: Bacteria
Description: bacterial SSU rRNA
Rfam family: Bacterial small subunit ribosomal RNA
Source: RNAcentral